This 792-nucleotide ribosomal RNA is filed under the name uncultured bacterium. RNAcentral describes it as "bacterial SSU rRNA". It matches the Rfam family "Bacterial small subunit ribosomal RNA", at positions 26 to 812 of the family's 1533-position model. The record is from RNAcentral.
AGGAUGAACGCUGGCGGCGUGCUUAACACAUGCUAGUCGAACGGGAAUGCCACGCUGAUGCGAUUUCGGUCAAAUCAUGUGGCAUUCGAGUGGCGGACGGGUGAGUAACGCGUGGGUAACCUGCCUUACACAGGAGGGAUAACACCUGGAAACAGGUGCUAAUACCGCAUAAGCGCACAGGGCCGCAUGGCCCGGUGUGAAAAACUCCGGUGGUGUAAGAUGGACCCGCGUCUGAUUAGCUUGUUGGCGGGGUAGGGGCCCACCAAGGCGACGAUCAGUAGCCGGCCUGAGAGGGUGGACGGCCACAUUGGGACUGAGACACGGCCCAAACUCCUACGGGAGGCAGCAGUGGGGGAUAUUGGACAAUGGGGGAAACCCUGAUCCAGCGACGCCGCGUGAGUGAAGAAGUAUUUCGGUAUGUAAAGCUCUGUCAGCAGGGAAGAAAGAAAUGACGGUACCUGACCAAGAAGCCCCGGCUAACUACGUGCCAGCAGCCGCGGUAAUACGUAGGGGGCAAGCGUUAUCCGGAAUUACUGGGUGUAAAGGGAGCGUAGACGGUGAUGCAAGUCUGGAGUGAAAGGCGGGGGCCCAACCCCCGGACUGCUCUGGAAACUGUGUAACUUGAGUGCAGGAGAGGUAAGCGGAAUUCCUAGUGUAGCGGUGAAAUGCGUAGAUAUUAGGAGGAACACCAGUGGCGAAGGCGGCUUACUGGACUGUAACUGACGUUGAGGCUCGAAAGCGUGGGGAGCAAACAGGAUUAGAUACCCUGGUAGUCCACGCCGUAAACGAUGA